GCACGAGCAACCGGCAAGGCCCUUCAUGCUGGAUCAUCUCAUGAUGGAGGGUGGAUGGGCAAGAGAGGGCCAAGCUCACUCUGGUCCCAACAUUUUCACUAUGUAGUUGCCAGCAACUAUUAAGUUGUUGCUUUGGAUUGACUGAAAG
Molecule: long non-coding RNA, 148 nt
Filed under: Chinchilla lanigera (long-tailed chinchilla)
Lineage: Eukaryota; Metazoa; Chordata; Mammalia; Rodentia; Chinchillidae
Description: lncRNA (ENSCLAG00000024156.1)
Source: RNAcentral